This 451-nucleotide ribosomal RNA is filed under the name uncultured bacterium. RNAcentral describes it as "partial 16S ribosomal RNA". It matches the Rfam family "Bacterial small subunit ribosomal RNA", at positions 354 to 796 of the family's 1533-position model. The record is from RNAcentral.
GUGGGGAAUAUUGGACAAUGGGGGGAACCCUGAUCCAGCCAUGCCGCGUGUGUGAAGAAGGCCUUUUGGUUGUAAAGCACUUUAAGCGAGGAGGAGGCUACCGAGAUUAAUACUCUUGGAUAGUGGACGUUACUCGCAGAAUAAGCACCGGCUAACUCUGUGCCAGCAGCCGCGGUAAUACAGAGGGUGCGAGCGUUAAUCGGAUUUACUGGGCGUAAAGCGUGCGUAGGCGGCUUUUUAAGUCGGAUGUGAAAUCCCCGAGCUUAACUUGGGAAUUGCAUUCGAUACUGGGAAGCUAGAGUAUGGGAGAGGAUGGUAGAAUUCCAGGUGUAGCGGUGAAAUGCGUAGAGAUCUGGAGGAAUACCGAUGGCGAAGGCAGCCAUCUGGCCUAAUACAGACGCUGAGGUACGAAAGCAUGGGGAGCGAACGGGAUUAGAUACCCUGGUAGUCC